RNAcentral lists this ribosomal RNA (266 nucleotides) under uncultured Staphylococcus sp. RNAcentral's name for it is "partial 16S ribosomal RNA". It matches the Rfam family "Bacterial small subunit ribosomal RNA", at positions 96 to 354 of the family's 1533-position model. Lineage: Bacteria; Bacillati; Bacillota; Bacilli; Caryophanales; Staphylococcaceae. The record is from RNAcentral.
CGGCGGACGGGUGAGUAACACGUGGAUAACCUACCUAUAAGACUGGGAUAACUUCGGGAAACCGGAGCUAAUACCGGAUAAUAUAUUGAACCGCAUUGUUCAAUAGUGAAAGACGGUUUUGCUGUCACUUAUAGAUGGAUCCGCGCCGCAUUAGCUAGUUGGUAAGGUAACGGCUUACCAAGGCAGCGAUGCGUAGCCGACCUGAGAGGGUGAUCGGCCACACUGGAACUUAGACACGGUCCAGACUCCUACGGGAGGCAGCAGGC